UACGUAGGGUGCGAGCGUUGUCCGGAAUUAUUGGGCGUAAAGAGCUCGUAGGCGGUGUGUCACGUCGGCCUGAAAACCUGCAGCUUAACUGUGGGCGUGCGGUCGAUACGGGCAUCACUUGAGUUCGGCAGGGGAGACUGGAAUUCCUGGUGUAGCGGUGAAAUGCGCAGAUAUCAGGAGGAACACCAAUGGCGAAGGCAGCUCGCUGGAACGGAACUGACGCUGAGGCGCGAAAGCGUGGGGAGCGAACAGG
RNAcentral lists this ribosomal RNA (253 nucleotides) under uncultured bacterium. Its description in RNAcentral is "partial 16S ribosomal RNA". It matches the Rfam family "Bacterial small subunit ribosomal RNA", at positions 524 to 776 of the family's 1533-position model. The record is from RNAcentral.